Molecule: long non-coding RNA, 888 nt
Filed under: Sus scrofa (pig)
Lineage: Eukaryota; Metazoa; Chordata; Mammalia; Artiodactyla; Suidae
Description: lncRNA (ENSSSCG00035048140.1)
Source: RNAcentral
AUGUUUCAGCAUGUCUGGUAUUUUGACAUUCCAUGGAGAAAUCUGAUCCAGGUUGUUGCCUUUCAGACCAAUGCAUUGGAUGAUAACUGGUACAUCGUCAAGGGACAGAAGUGUCAACAGAAACCAUGGAUAUUGUUUGUAGACUAUGGCAUCACAAGAUGAAAAAAAUAUGGAUCCCUGUGUCACUAAUUGGAAGAGAGUGAUCAAGAGAGCUAUGAACAAUACAUAUAUAUUUUAUUAAGCUCCUGAGAUUUGGGGAUUGUUGGCUACAACAGUCAUACUUACACAUUUUCCCAUAUCCUAUUCUUUACCAAACCAUCAGAAUGAACCUAUUAAAACCAAGGUAAAAUUACAUCACUCUUUCGUUCACUUACUUUAUUCAAUCACAUAGGCCUUCAAUCUGUUCCUGGAGUGUACCAACUACUACUUCACUUCAGGCCUUUUACAUGCUCUUUCCUAUCCCUGGAGGGAUCUAUCCCUAGUUCUUUGUAGGCCUGCUCCCUUAUCUCCUUGAUCAUUCUCUUUGUGAGGCUUUCCUAGACCUACUUACUUAAAAUGGACUCUUUCAAUCUAAUAUAUUGCCCUUCCCAUUUGAAUUUUCUUGAGAAUGUGUAUCUCACACAUUCAGUAUUUUAUGUUUUAUCUCUUUGAAUCCCAGUACCAAGAAAUAUGUCUAGACCAUUGUAGGAAUUCAGUAAGUAUUUGUUAAAUUAUGAAUGGAUUAAGAAUAUGUGGCAUAUAUACACAAUGGAAUACUACUCAGCCAUUAAAUGAACAAUAACAAAAUAAUGCCAUUUGUAGCAACAUGGAUGGAACUAGAGACUCUCAUACUAAGUGAAAUAAGUCAGAAAGAGAAAGAUGAAUACCAUAUGAUAUCACUUCUAUCUG